GUGUCUAUAGCUUGUCCAAACUGAGCACUUACUUUACUAUUGAUGUCAGCCUCUGCACCAUCCCCCCGGGACUAGUUUGACAAUCACGUUCACGAUCGAUGUCUGCAGUGUGCAGAAGGGUUUGAAGUUGGUGCUCCCAUAUCAACAACAGUAGUAAGUGACCGUUGAUCACUGAUUGCAGAAAAAAGAGUGAUAAAUAAUUUGAUGCGAAUUUAUUUCGGACAGAUGAACGUAACAGUGCCAAUAAAAAGUACCUGAGAAGAGAAGGGUCAUAAGCAUUCACAUAGUUCAGAAUCAUAACAAUCUUGAAGGGUACUUUUCAUCUAAGCGUCUAAAAUUUGUUGGCUAGAUACUUGAGUUAGUAGAUUUGGUUAGGAACACAAGCAUAUGAUUAAUCUGAUAUCCUAAGAGAAUGGUUUCACCAACUUGUCCAUUUCAGUUUUCUGUUAGUACUAUUUAACAUAUGAUAAUAUGAUAAUAUAUAUAUAUAUAUAUAUAUAUAUAUAUAUAUAUAUAUAUAUAUAUAUAUAUANNNNNNNNNNNNNNNNNNNNNNNNNNNNNNNNNNNNNNNNNNNNNNNNNNNNNNNNNNNNNNNNNNNNNNNNNNNNNNNNNNNNNNNNNNNNNNNNNNNNAUAUAUAUAUAUAUAUAUAUAUAUAUAUAUAUAUAUAUAUAUAUAUAUAUAUAUAUAUAUAUAUAUAUAUAUAUAUAUAUAAGGGCAGCCCGGUGCACUAAAGCGUCCGCAUACGAUGGGUUCCACCAUAUAUCUUUAUUUAUAUGUGUUCGAUGGGAAUGAAAACUAUCUUAGUUAAAAAACUCCUUGUUGGCGAUAUUUUUGCCUAACACAUUUGAAUGAGGAGAGCAAGGAAUGUUAAAUUGUGACAAAUAAAUCUUUGUAUACCUAUAGAGCUAGAAUCCUACUCGCCUAGCAAGCCAAUACUUGACAUCCAUGCAUAAAAAACCAGUAGAAAUGUGUCAUGUGGCGUUGUAUGUCGCCCCCACUUCCUGGGUGACAUGGUAUCUUGUGGUCCAAGAAAAGCAACGCGUGGAAAGGCUGGACAGUUGGAAAAUUCGCUAAACAUUUUUUUUUUAAGGAAAAAAAAUUCGCUAAACAUAAUCACUUGAAAUUCACUAAGCUAAAUUUUUUGAGAUUACACAUAAACCUUUCUUCAGCUGCAAGUUACCUCUGUGUCAAGCUCUUACAAACUCAAAGUUUUAAGAGAACACUAUCAGUAGACUAAUUCCAAACUCUUAAGAGCUUGUUUCAAGCCAUCAAGGCUUUAUUCAACUUCUGACUUUUGAUCUCCAUUCCUUUCUUUUCAAAACCUGAAGGUUGUUUUACAAACAGCUCUUCCUCCAAUGGACCAUUAAGGAAAUCUGAUUUAAUAUCUAACUAACUUAAUUCCACCAUUUCUUACUUGCCAAAGAAGCUACCAAUCUUAUUAUCUUAAUUCUUGUAACUGGAGCAUAAUUUCAUUAAUAUCUAGGCCUAGAUUUUGACAAAAAAAAAAAAAACUUUUGAAAACAAGCUUUAUACUUUGCAACUUGGCCAUUUGUUUUCAUUGUGGUUUUGAACAUCCAUUUUACUUCAAAAGCCUUCUUCUUAUUAGGCAGAUUUUCUAACUAACGUGUAUUGUUGUUUUGAAUUGAACUCAAUUCAUAUUUCAUUGCUUCUUUCUAGUGGAUACUUUGAUGUGCUAUCAUGAGCAUAUCCAACAAGAUUGUGUAAAUUAGGCGCUACAAAAUUCCAAUAAAUCAUAAACGAAAACCAAAAGUGUAUACUUUGCAACUAUGAUCUGACACAGUAUAACAGUAUAACAAAAUGAACAUGGCUUAAGCUUGCCCAUGAACUAAAACAAGGGCUACAAUUGUUGUGCACAAAUCAAUAACAUACAUAUUCAAUUUUCUAAAAUAAAAAACAUGCAUGUAGAAGAUUGAAAGCACAAAGAGGGAAUGAAUCAUUGGAGAAUCUAAGCAAAGAGAGUAACCUGAGCACAGAAAGAUCACAUCCAUAGAGGUAGAUUUGAAUGAAAAUGGAUAUAAACAUAAAUCUAAAUGAACAGAACCUGCAUAAAUUCACAAAUCAUAGAUAAUCCAACUUGAAGAUAAGAGUAUAAAAAAAAAAAAAGUUACGGAAGUAAGAGAAAACAAAAAGUGGAGAUUCAUUUAGAUUCGGUUUUAUUGUAUUUGUAUACUUUAUUGGGUUUGAUACGAUUUGGAUUUUCGUUUUUAUUGGAUUUGUCUAAACCGCUUACACC
RNAcentral lists this long non-coding RNA (2256 nucleotides) under Medicago truncatula (barrel medic). RNAcentral's name for it is "long non-coding RNA (MTRU_LNC001177)". Lineage: Eukaryota; Viridiplantae; Streptophyta; Magnoliopsida; Fabales; Fabaceae. The record is from RNAcentral.